This 502-nucleotide ribosomal RNA is filed under the name Enterobacter asburiae. Its description in RNAcentral is "partial 16S ribosomal RNA". It matches the Rfam family "Bacterial small subunit ribosomal RNA", at positions 1031 to 1533 of the family's 1533-position model. Lineage: Bacteria; Pseudomonadati; Pseudomonadota; Gammaproteobacteria; Enterobacterales; Enterobacteriaceae. RNAcentral also lists the same sequence under 1 other name. The record is from RNAcentral.
GAGACAGGUGCUGCAUGGCUGUCGUCAGCUCGUGUUGUGAAAUGUUGGGUUAAGUCCCGCAACGAGCGCAACCCUUAUCCUUUGUUGCCAGCGGUCCGGCCGGGAACUCAAAGGAGACUGCCAGUGAUAAACUGGAGGAAGGUGGGGAUGACGUCAAGUCAUCAUGGCCCUUACGAGUAGGGCUACACACGUGCUACAAUGGCGCAUACAAAGAGAAGCGACCUCGCGAGAGCAAGCGGACCUCAUAAAGUGCGUCGUAGUCCGGAUUGGAGUCUGCAACUCGACUCCAUGAAGUCGGAAUCGCUAGUAAUCGUAGAUCAGAAUGCUACGGUGAAUACGUUCCCGGGCCUUGUACACACCGCCCGUCACACCAUGGGAGUGGGUUGCAAAAGAAGUAGGUAGCUUAACCUUCGGGAGGGCGCUUACCACUUUGUGAUUCAUGACUGGGGUGAAGUCGUAACAAGGUAACCGUAGGGGAACCUGCGGUUGGAUCACCUCCUUA